This 256-nucleotide non-coding RNA is filed under the name Oryza punctata. RNAcentral describes it as "Bacterial small subunit ribosomal RNA". It matches the Rfam family "Bacterial small subunit ribosomal RNA", at positions 603 to 873 of the family's 1533-position model. The record is from Rfam by way of RNAcentral. Lineage: Eukaryota; Viridiplantae; Streptophyta; Magnoliopsida; Poales; Poaceae.
UUGGGCUUAAAAGUCCUUUGAGCCAUGGAAUCCCUUUUGUCUUGAUUGGAGUGGAAUUUUGUGUGUAGGGGUGAAAUCGGUAGAUCUACGAAGGAACGCCAAAAGCGAAGGCAGCUCUCUGGGUCCCGACCGACGCUGGGGUGCGAAAGCAUGGGGAGCGAACAGGAUUAGAUACCUAGUACUCCAUGCAGUAAACGAUGAGUGUUCGCCCUCGGUCUACGCGGAAGGGCCCAGCUAACGCGUGAAACACUCCGCC